UACAGAGGUCCCAAGCGUUGUUCGGAUUCACUGGGCGUAAAGGGUGCGUAGGUGGCCAGGUAAGUUCGGUGUGAAAGCUCGGAGCUUAACUCCGAAAUGGCAUUGAAUACUAGCUGGCUAGAGGGCCGGAGGGGAGACUGGAAUUCUCGGUGUAGCAGUGAAAUGCGUAGAUAUCGAGAGGAACACCAGUGGCGAAGGCGAGUCUCUGGACGGCUCCUGACGCUGAGGCACGAAAGCCAGGGGAGCAAACAGG
RNAcentral lists this ribosomal RNA (253 nucleotides) under uncultured bacterium. Its description in RNAcentral is "partial 16S ribosomal RNA". It matches the Rfam family "Bacterial small subunit ribosomal RNA", at positions 524 to 776 of the family's 1533-position model. The record is from RNAcentral.